Molecule: ribosomal RNA, 726 nt
Filed under: uncultured bacterium
Lineage: Bacteria
Description: bacterial SSU rRNA
Rfam family: Bacterial small subunit ribosomal RNA
Source: RNAcentral
CUUCUUUCCUCCCGAGUGCUUGCACUCAAUUGGAAAGAGGAGUGGCGGACGGGUGAGUAACACGUGGGUAACCUACCCAUCAGAGGGGGAUAACACUUGGAAACAGGUGCUAAUACCGCAUAACAGUUUAUGCCGCAUGGCAUAAGAGUGAAAGGCGCUUUCGGGUGUCGCUGAUGGAUGGACCCGCGGUGCAUUAGCUAGUUGGUGAGGUAACGGCUCACCAAGGCCACGAUGCAUAGCCGACCUGAGAGGGUGAUCGGCCACACUGGGACUGAGACACGGCCCAGACUCCUACGGGAGGCAGCAGUAGGGAAUCUUCGGCAAUGGACGAAAGUCUGACCGAGCAACGCCGCGUGAGUGAAGAAGGUUUUCGGAUCGUAAAACUCUGUUGUUAGAGAAGAACAAGGACGUUAGUAACUGAACGUCCCCUGACGGUAUCUAACCAGAAAGCCACGGCUAACUACGUGCCAGCAGCCGCGGUAAUACGUAGGUGGCAAGCGUUGUCCGGAUUUAUUGGGCGUAAAGCGAGCGCAGGCGGUUUCUUAAGUCUGAUGUGAAAGCCCCCGGCUCAACCGGGGAGGGUCAUUGGAAACUGGGAGACUUGAGUGCAGAAGAGGAGAGUGGAAUUCCAUGUGUAGCGGUGAAAUGCGUAGAUAUAUGGAGGAACCCAGUGGCGAGGCGGCUCUCUGGUCUGUACUGACGCUGAGCUCGAAGCGUGGGAGCAAC